GAGGCAUAUGGAAGUUCCCAAGCUAGGGGUCAAAUCGGAGCUGUAGCUGCCGGCCUACACCACAGUCACAGCAACGCCAGACCCAAGCUGCAUCUGCGACCUACACCACAGCUCAUGGCAAUGCCAGAUCCUUAACCCACUGAGCGGGGCCACGAAUCGCACCUGCAUCCUCAUGGAUGCUAGUCAGAUUGUUUUCGCUAAGCCACGACAGAAAUUCCAAUCUGGGAACAAUCUUAAAAGGUCAUCAUGCCCCUGUAUGUUUCAAAUGGUUGUAGCACAUGGAGUCAUGUUUUUAAUCACACUAAGGCAUAUCCAUAUCCCAUAUCCAUAUCUAUAGAUAUCCACAAUACAUACAUAUAUGCCUUAGUGUGAUUAAAAACUACUGUUUUUAUAUAUAACGUUAUAUAUUUUAGUGUCAUUAGAAACUUAGUGAUAUAUAGUGAGUUCCCGUGUGGGUCAGUAGGUUCAGCAUCCGGCAUUGCCACUGCCGUGGCUCCAGUUGCUGCUGUGAUGUGGGUUUGAUUCCUGACCUGGCAACUUCUGUAUGCCUCACAUGCAGCCAAAAAAGACCUCUUGAUAUAUAUCGACACAGAUAUAACACAUAUACAUAACAUACACAUAAUUAAACAGGAGGUGGGGAACUUGGAGGCCCACCACAUGUAUCUCUGUCUCUCUUUCUUACAUCCAUCCCUGAAAAACUUGUGAGACAUCUCUAGUUUAAAAGCCACUGAUCUAGUCAUUCACUCAACGAAUAUUCAUUGUGGGUCCAAAAUGUUCCAGGAACUGCUAGGGGCUGGGGAUGCGCGUGGUGAACAAGACUGACAAGGUCUCUGGUCUCAUGGGGCUUAUGUUCCAGUGGGGAAAGAUAGGAAAGGCACAAAUGAAUGAGGAAUCAACAUAAACGCAGACGGUGAUGGAAGUUAUGAAGACAAUAAAACCUCUACCAAGGGAUAAGGUGACAGGGAAAGAGGAGAGAGGGACAUCAAGCACGUGUGUCAACAAGAGUUAGGGGAGCCAGGGAGGGGUCUCCAAGGAGAUGAUACCGGAGCCAAAUACUGGGUGUCAAGCAUAAUCCAGCCAAGCAAAAUGCUGAGCAAUCCAAACCUUUAGGGUUGCUGAUGGGAACUCCAAAAAGCAAAGGAGGACUGACUGGCCCCAAGGCCACCCUUUUAGUUACCGGUGAAGCGUGGACCAGAAUAGAGGUCUCCUGUCCCUCCACACUGACCAGUGGGAUACAACAUUCUCUUUCCUACUCUCUGCAGUUUAGCAGACUCCUGUCUUCCUGAGCAAUCUCCUUAAAAACUGUCUUCCCCAUCAUCCUCUUUAAUGUAUCACCUUACUUCUAUUUUCUCUGUAAAUCACCCAUAUAAUCAAUUUGUAUCUCUAUAUACUAAUAAUAGUACACUAUAUAUACUAAAAAAUAACCAUGGUAAAUUGUGUGCAUGGGUGUGCAUGUAAUUUUCUAAGCAAAAGUAAAACCCAAUCUAUUGGAAAAGAAAUGCAACUAGACUUCCUUUAUCAUAGUGUUUUUAAAAAGAAAAGCCAUGGUUCAUAGCAUAACAUCAAGCAUUUCCACCUAAAAAAAAAAAAAAAAAAUCUCAGAAGAAAAGCUACAGACUUCAUAAGUUACUAGGAAAAAUGCCACCAUCCUUCUGGCUCUGAGCCAACAGACAAUGAAGCUGAGUGUGUCUACCCUUUGAAACAAAAUAAACGACAACUACCACCAAAUGCCCUUUUGGGCUUCCUGCUAGUUAUAUCUUGUUUUGUGAAAGAAAAUGCCCUGGGCUGGCCUGGAGCCUCAGAUCCACAGACUCCCAAGAUUCUAGGAGUCGUGAAGAUGCAAUUUGAAGAGCUGUGUCCUAACAAAAUCAAGAGAUAGGGAGGGAGGAGAGUGUGCUAUCAAAGAAAUUCUCUAGAUUGAAUAUUUGGUCGGGUAAAUUUUCCUUUGUUGGUUUGGAGCAGAUCCUGUGCAUUUCUCUUUUCCAGUUCUAGUAAAUCCUUAAACAGAUCUGAGUUUUAAGGGCUUAGGGCUGCCCUUGGGAAAUAGGUGAUUAUACUCUCUGUUUAGAGUUUUAGUGAUAAGGGGCAGAGGAGAGGCUGUGGGUUGAAUACUCCUCCUCCAGGCCAAUUUCUCAGUGACUCUCUUUUGCAGUUCCCCUUUAAAGCAGAAACAUGUUUAAAAAAUGAAGUGGUGACAAUAUAAAAUCCCAUCCCUUCAUUUGCAUGUUUCAAUUGUUUUAUAUACAUACAAACGAGAGACAAACAGAUGGAGAGCACGAUGGAUAUAGCUAAAACACCAGUCAAUUCCAGAGGAAGGAAGGCUCUGUGAGAAUAUUUUCCUUUUCGUUUUACAUUUUAUAUUUCAUGUAAUUAUUUCACAGGGGGAUUAGAUUGGAAAACUUCUUUACCCACAGAUAUGCUGCCAAAUGUAGUUGGGAGGACCUAGGGGGAAAAAAAAAAUCAGUGCUUCCCCCCCAAAGUAAACACAAUAAAUCAAACUCUACAACAGUGUUUCUCAUACUGGAACCCUUAAACCCCAUCCAAAAGGGUCAGAUAUGGAGAGAUUUUGUUCAUUACCUCUAGGAAGGAUGCUAAGCAGUUAAUAAGGCUGUGCAUUUGCCCUCUGCCACAGCCCUUUUCCUGAGAUUACUUCAGACCCUCUUACUAGUGCUUCCUUCAAAAAAACAAAAUAAAACAUUCUCACCCUUGUCAUCUCUCCUUCUUUCUACUCUUCCUAACAGAUAUAUUUUCAACCUUCAAUAUAUAUUGAAUAUUGAAUAUAUAUUGAAGGUUGAAAAACAAAAGUAACAUAUCAGGGAACUUACUCCAAGUGUAUUAGUGCAAACGGGACUUCAGAGGUGAGCCAACCACAGACCAAGCGCCCCUCCCUCACUCUCCUUCCAAGACGGAAAGUAACUACCAGGGAAGUAAAAGGACUUGACUAAAUUGCUACUAGCUGGUAGCAGUGGGAGCACUGGGACCUUCAACACCUAAUUCUGCAGCCACUACUUUCCAUUAUCACUAAGAAGAUAAGAAGUAUAAUAUAGUUAUCAUUAUAUCACUGUCUUUGCUUAUUAUUUGUUGCAAAGCCUAAGAUGGGAAAAAAUGAGGCCCUUAGAGUCAUUUGCUAGCAAAAACAAAAAUAGCGAUCAACAGACGGAGAAACUCUGCUCUUCAAGACAGAAUCUGCUUAUGUCCCACCUGGAUGCCACACUGGCUAGGAGAGUCUUCUGUGACCUAGGAGAUCAAAGGCAAUUACAUUGCCCAUAUAUAUUUGCUAGCUGUUUGACCCUCCCAAGGGCAGCAUAGCAGUACAAGGGGAGUGACAUCUUUAUGAGGUUAACCCUUUUCUAUUUUAAGGGUAGACUAUCGAAGGCAGAUGUGUUCCCUGGAGCAGAACGAGAAUGCUGGAAAUUCGGGAGUUAGGAGGAAGGACACCACCAGACCAUCAACCAGGAGCGACAAAAUAAAUUGCUGUUCAGAGGAAGAGUGAGCUAGCGAAACCUACAAGAAUGUUGAUGCCCAUGAAGUGAAUUAUAAUACAGAGAGAAGGAACAAAAGACAAAGCAAGGACGCUAAUGUCUGUUAAGGUCUAAGAGAGCUUCUUAAAGCCCAUCCUCAGAAGUAGCACAACACCAUUUCUGUCACAGACUCUUGGUUAAAACAAGUCACAGGACUCUUCAAGGUUCAAGGGGAGAAAGAGCAUCCAUUUUUCAAUUCGAGGAGUAGUAAAGUCACAUUGCAAAGGGGCAAGUGGGCUUGACAGAAUCAUGGUGAUCAUUUAAAAAACAACUUACCCUAGGCUCUAAACUCCACGUUCCUUCUGCGAUCAAGAUUUAAAAUAGAACAUAUAUGUAUGACUGAGUCGAUUUGCUGUACAGCAGAAAUUGACACAUUGUAAACCAACUAUACUCUCGUAUUUUUCUUUUAAAAAAAAAAAACUUUAAAAUAAGUCCUGCAUUGCCCUUAACUGUUCUUUUCAUAGAUUAAUUGAAAAGACUACGUUUUAUAACCUGGGAUUGGUGUCAGAAAACUUGGGUUCUAGUUCUACCUCUACUGCUAUGGGAACUCAAAAUAUUUUCUUUUAAAUGGGCUUUAAUAUUUCUUCACCUAUGAGAAAGGGGUUUGGUCUGUUUUCUCCCUAAGGGCUCAUAAGAUGUACAAAUUGAUAGAAUAAUGUCUAUUUUUAGAUCAAUACCAACUAGCUCUCUUGGGGAUGGGCAGGAUGGAGAGGUGAGAGGGCUAAAUGAGAUGGCUAUUUUGCCUACUACUCCCUUUCAUUGCCUUGGGUUCAAAAUUUGGGAUGCCGUGAGCCAAGGAAACUCAUUCCCGUGGGCAGCUGAAAUCCUCUAUCAUCUGGGUGCUGCUCUGACCAUUUCCACGUAUUAUAUGCCAAGCCAAGCUGGCCUGGGUCCUCCCACACUCUACUGAGUACGAGAGUACAAGUCCUUGCUUUAAGGGACCUGGUUAGAAAAGGCAAUUCCCAUGCAACACACACCCAUGCCAGGGAAGCAAAAAGCAGAGGUAAGGAGGCUCCCGAGCUGGUCUCUUCCUGAGGGAGCUCAGAUCUCUCUCAGAAAGAUAUAGUUGCCUGGUCUAUGGAAGAUCAGGUUCCCAAGGAGAAAACUAAUGUUUAAUUUAGCACAAAGACAGCUCAGAAUCUCUCUCCCGGGGACUAAGCCUGCAAACAGAUCCACAUGCAAAGAAUAUAAGUGAGAAAAGGAAGCUCUC
RNAcentral lists this long non-coding RNA (4731 nucleotides) under Sus scrofa (pig). RNAcentral's name for it is "lncRNA (ENSSSCG00055030312.1)". Lineage: Eukaryota; Metazoa; Chordata; Mammalia; Artiodactyla; Suidae. The record is from RNAcentral.